AUUGAACGCUGGCGGCAUGCCUUACACAUGCAAGUCGAACGGCAGCACGGGAGCAAUCCUGGUGGCGAGUGGCGAACGGGUGAGUAAUAUAUCGGAACGUGCCCAGUCGUGGGGAUAACGUAGCGAAAGCUACGCUAAUACCGCAUACGAUCUAUGGAUGAAAGCGGGGGAUCGCAAGACCUCGCGCGAUUGGAGCGGCCGAUAUCAGAUUAGGUAGUUGGUGAGGUAAAGGCUCACCAAGCCGACGAUCUGUAGCUGGUCUGAGAGGACGACCAGCCACACUGGGACUGAGACACGGCCCAGACUCCUACGGGAGGCAGCAGUGGGAAUUUUGGACAAUGGGCGCAAGCCUGAUCCAGCAGUGCCGCGUGCAGGAUGAAGGCCUU
This 386-nucleotide ribosomal RNA is filed under the name uncultured bacterium. RNAcentral describes it as "bacterial SSU rRNA". It matches the Rfam family "Bacterial small subunit ribosomal RNA", at positions 30 to 418 of the family's 1533-position model. The record is from RNAcentral.